CUGGUGUACCAGUUGUUCUGCCAAGAGCACCGCUGGGUAGCUACGUAUGGAUUAGAUAAUCGCUGAAAGCAUCUAAGUGAGAAACUAACCUCGAGAUGAGAUUUCCCAUUCGUCAGAAGUAAGACCCCUGAGAGACGAUCAGGUAGAUAGGCUAGAAGUGGAAGUGUAGUGAUGCAUGGAGCGGACUAGUACUAAUAGGUCGAGGACUUAACCAAG
RNAcentral lists this ribosomal RNA (216 nucleotides) under Oenococcus oeni. RNAcentral describes it as "partial 23S ribosomal RNA". It matches the Rfam family "Bacterial large subunit ribosomal RNA", at positions 2709 to 2925 of the family's 2925-position model. Lineage: Bacteria; Bacillati; Bacillota; Bacilli; Lactobacillales; Lactobacillaceae. The record is from RNAcentral.